AGGGUGCGUAGGCGGGUUAUUAAGUCAGUGGUGAAAGACGGUCGCUCAACGAUUGCAGUGCCAUUGAUACUGGUAGACUUGAGUGGGAUUGAGGUAGCGUGGAAUGGAUAGUGUAGCGGUGAAAUGCAUAGAUAUUAUCCAGAACACCAAUUGCGUAGGCAAGUUACUAAGUCUCAACUGACGCUGAGGCACGAAAGUGUGGGGUAUCAAACAGGAUUAGAUACCCGUGU
RNAcentral lists this ribosomal RNA (230 nucleotides) under uncultured bacterium. RNAcentral's name for it is "partial 16S ribosomal RNA". It matches the Rfam family "Bacterial small subunit ribosomal RNA", at positions 564 to 791 of the family's 1533-position model. The record is from RNAcentral.